AGCAGCCGCGGUAAUUCCAGCUCCAAUAGCGUAUAUUAAAGUUGUUGCAGUUAAAAAGCUCGUAGUUGAACUUCAGGCCUGGCUGGGCGGUCCGCCUUCCGGGUGAGUACUGCCUGUGGUCGGGUCCUACCUUCUGGCGAAGCGUCAUGGCCUUAACCGGCCGUGGCGGGGAACCAGGACUUUUACUGUGAAAAAAUUAGAGUGUUCAAAGCAGGCACGCGCUUGAAUACAUUAGCAUGGAAUAAUGGAAUAGGACAGUGGUUCUAUUUGUUGGUUUCUAGGACCGUUGUAAUGAUUAAUAGGGAUAGUUGGGGGCAUUAGUAUUCAAUUGUCAGAGGUGAAAUUCUUGGAUUUAUUGAAGACUAACUACUGCGAAAGCAUUUGCCAAGGAUGUUUUCAUUAAUCAAGAACGAAAGUUAGGGGAUCGAAGACGAUCAGAUACCGUCGUAGUCUUAACCAUAAACUAUGCCGACUAGGAAUCGGGCGAUGUUGACAAAAUGACGCGCUCGGCACCUCAUA
This 519-nucleotide ribosomal RNA is filed under the name uncultured Paraglomus. RNAcentral describes it as "SSU rRNA". It matches the Rfam family "Eukaryotic small subunit ribosomal RNA", at positions 569 to 1092 of the family's 1831-position model. The record is from RNAcentral. Lineage: Eukaryota; Fungi; Glomeromycota; Glomeromycetes; Paraglomerales; Paraglomeraceae.